This 404-nucleotide ribosomal RNA is filed under the name uncultured Xanthobacter sp. RNAcentral describes it as "bacterial SSU rRNA". It matches the Rfam family "Bacterial small subunit ribosomal RNA", at positions 378 to 774 of the family's 1533-position model. Lineage: Bacteria; Pseudomonadati; Pseudomonadota; Alphaproteobacteria; Hyphomicrobiales; Xanthobacteraceae. The record is from RNAcentral.
AAAGCCUGAUCCAGCCAUGCCGCGUGUGUGAAGAAGGUCUUCGGAUUGUAAAGCACUUUAAGUUGGGAGGAAGGGUUGUAGAUUAAUACUCUGCAAUUUUGACGUUACCGACAGAAUAAGCACCGGCUAACUUCGUGCCAGCAGCCGCGGUAAUACGAAGGGGGCUAGCGUUGCUCGGAAUCACUGGGCGUAAAGCGCACGUAGGCGGAUCGUUAAGUCAGGGGUGAAAUCCUGGGGCUCAACCUCAGAACUGCCCUUGAUACUGGCGAUCUCGAGUUCGAGAGAGGUUGGUGGAACUCCGAGUGUAGAGGUGAAAUUCGUAGAUAUUCGGAAGAACACCAGUGGCGAAGGCGGCCAACUGGCUCGAUACUGACGCUGAGGUGCGAAAGCGUGGGGAGCAAACA